UACGGAGGGGGCUAGCGUUGUUCGGAAUUAUUGGGCGUAAAGCGCGUGUAGGCGGCUUAGCAAGUCGGGCGUGAAAGCCCUCGGCUCAACCGAGGAAGUGCACCCGAAACUGCUGAGCUUGAGUGCCGGAGAGGAUGGCGGAAUUCCCCAAGUAGAGGUGAAAUUCGUAGAUAUGGGGAGGAACACCGGUGGCGAAGGCGGCCAUCUGGACGGUAACUGACGCUGAGACGCGAAAGCGUGGGUAGCAAACAGG
RNAcentral lists this ribosomal RNA (253 nucleotides) under uncultured bacterium. Its description in RNAcentral is "partial 16S ribosomal RNA". It matches the Rfam family "Bacterial small subunit ribosomal RNA", at positions 524 to 776 of the family's 1533-position model. The record is from RNAcentral.